GUCGGGCGCGGUGGCACGUGCUGGUAAUCCCGGCUACUCGGGAGGCUGAGGUGGGAGGAUCACUUGAGCCCAGGAGUUCUGGGCUGUAGUGCGCUAUGCCGAUCUGGUGUCCGCACUAAGUUCAGCAUCCAUAUGGUGACCUCCCGGGAGCGGGGGCCCACCAGGUUGCCUAAGGAAGGGUGAAAGAGCUCAGGUUGGAAACGAAGGUGGUCAAAAAUCCAGUGCUGAUCAGUAGUGGGAUCGUGCCUGUGAAUAGGCACUGCACUCCAGCCUGGGCAAUAUAGGGAGCCCCCGUCUCU
This 299-nucleotide signal recognition particle RNA is filed under the name Saimiri boliviensis boliviensis (Bolivian squirrel monkey). Its description in RNAcentral is "Metazoan signal recognition particle RNA (ENSSBOG00000009515.1)". It matches the Rfam family "Metazoan signal recognition particle RNA". Rfam says of the family: The signal recognition particle (SRP) is a universally conserved ribonucleoprotein. It is involved in the co-translational targeting of proteins to membranes. The eukaryotic SRP consists of a 300-nucleotide 7S RNA and six proteins: SRPs 72, 68, 54, 19, 14, and 9. The record is from RNAcentral. Lineage: Eukaryota; Metazoa; Chordata; Mammalia; Primates; Cebidae.